This is a long non-coding RNA of Olea europaea var. sylvestris, 477 nucleotides long. RefSeq lists it as uncharacterized. The transcript is spliced from 2 exons. The record is from RefSeq and is a predicted model, not a curated record. Lineage: Eukaryota; Viridiplantae; Streptophyta; Magnoliopsida; Lamiales; Oleaceae.
CGAACGGAACUGGGGGAGCCCAAUCCCGGAUUUUUCCAACUACUUGAGGGCAUGACAGUAAUUGUAUCUAAAUUAGGGUUUUCUUGUGAGCUCUUCUGCCGUCCCUUCUAUCACUAUAUAUUUGUGGCUAUACCCUCCAUAUUGUAUGGUAGGAAUUUUACAGGAGCGGCUGGCGAUCACUGACCAACCUCAGCAUCAUAUGUAAUUUUGUUCAGAGAUAUCAGGCGGUCGAUAAUGGAAAAAUUUAUGAGCAGGCGGUCGAUAAUUCCAUCGAAACCUUUACCUACUGCUUGCUGGUACAAAUCCCACAUUACGAGGUUGUUUUAGCUCUACUGUUUUCAAAAUCAAAAAAUGCAUUUUGAAUUAGUGUAAUGAUAGAGGAUUUGUGAUUAUAGAAUAAUGAAAAUUUUUGAUUUUGCUUAUAAUAUUAUUAUAUUGAAAAAUGUGUGAUUGAAAUAGAGUCAAAAUGUUAUUAAA